GCGCCAGUAGCUCAGCUGGAUAGAGCAACGGACUUCUAAUCCGUAGGCCGGGGGUUCGAGUCCUCCCUGGCGCGCCA
RNAcentral lists this transfer RNA (77 nucleotides) under Pseudomonadota bacterium. Its description in RNAcentral is "Proteobacteria bacterium (marine metagenome) tRNA-Arg". It matches the Rfam family "tRNA". From Rfam's summary of the family: Transfer RNA (tRNA) molecules are approximately 80 nucleotides in length. Their secondary structure includes four short double-helical elements and three loops (D, anti-codon, and T loops). RNAcentral also lists the same sequence under 4 other names. The record is from RNAcentral. Lineage: Bacteria; Pseudomonadati; Pseudomonadota.